AUCUUUUUAGUACUAAGAAGUAUAAGUGACUUCCAAUCACCUGGUCUUGGUUAAAACCCAAGAAAAGAUA
Molecule: non-coding RNA, 70 nt
Organism: Hippocampus comes (tiger tail seahorse)
Lineage: Eukaryota; Metazoa; Chordata; Actinopteri; Syngnathiformes; Syngnathidae
Source: Ensembl